This 253-nucleotide ribosomal RNA is filed under the name uncultured bacterium. RNAcentral's name for it is "partial 16S ribosomal RNA". It matches the Rfam family "Bacterial small subunit ribosomal RNA", at positions 524 to 776 of the family's 1533-position model. The record is from RNAcentral.
UACGUAGGGGGCAAGCGUUGUCCGGAAUCAUUGGGCGUAAAGCGCGCGUAGGCGGUUACGUAAGUCUGCUGUGAAAGUCGGAGGCUCAACCUUCGAAAGCCGGUGGAUACUGCGUGACUAGAGUACGGAAGAGGAGAGUGGAAUUCCUGGUGUAGCGGUGAAAUGCGCAGAUAUCAGGAGGAACACCAACGGCGAAGGCAGCUCUCUGGGACGUUACUGACGCUGAGACGCGAAAGCGUGGGGAGCAAACAGG